UACGGAGGGUGCAAGCGUUAUCCGGAUUCACUGGGUUUAAAGGGUGCGUAGGCGGGUAAGUAAGUCCGUGGUGAAAUCUCUGAGCUUAACUCAGAAACUGCCGUGGAUACUAUUUGCCUUGAAUAUUGUGGAGGUGAGCGGAAUAUGUCAUGUAGCGGUGAAAUGCUUAGAUAUGACAUAGAACACCAAUUGCGAAGGCAGCUCACUACACAAUCAUUGACGCUGAGGCACGAAAGCGUGGGUAGCAAACAGG
Molecule: ribosomal RNA, 253 nt
Filed under: uncultured bacterium
Lineage: Bacteria
Description: partial 16S ribosomal RNA
Rfam family: Bacterial small subunit ribosomal RNA
Source: RNAcentral